CGAUAACGAACGAGACCUUAACCUGCUAAAUAGCCAGGCUGUUCUCCGAACGGUCGUCGGCUUCUUAGAGGGACUAUUGGCGUUUAGCCGAUGGAAGUUUGAGGCAAUAACAGGUCUGUGAUGCCCUUAGAUGUUCUGGGCCGCACGCGCGCUACACUGAUCAAGUCAACGAGUUUACAACCUUGGCUGAUAGGUCUGGGUAAUCUUGGAAAGUGCGUCGUGCUGGGGAUAGUCCAUUGCAAUUAUUGGACUUCAACGAGGAAUUCCUAGUAAGCGUGAGUCAUCAGCUCGCGUUGAUUACGUCCCUGCCCUUUGUACACACCGCCCGUCGCUACUACCGAUUGAAUGGCU
RNAcentral lists this ribosomal RNA (351 nucleotides) under uncultured fungus. Its description in RNAcentral is "bacterial SSU rRNA". It matches the Rfam family "Eukaryotic small subunit ribosomal RNA", at positions 1326 to 1698 of the family's 1831-position model. The record is from RNAcentral. Lineage: Eukaryota; Fungi.